RNAcentral lists this ribosomal RNA (301 nucleotides) under uncultured bacterium. RNAcentral's name for it is "partial 16S ribosomal RNA". It matches the Rfam family "Bacterial small subunit ribosomal RNA", at positions 509 to 807 of the family's 1533-position model. The record is from RNAcentral.
CAGUAGCCACGGGAAUACGAAGGGUGCAAGCGUUAAUCGGAAUUACUGGGCGUAAAGCGUGCGUAGGCGGUUUGUUAAGUCUGCUGUGAAAUCCCCGGGCUCAACCUGGGAAUGGCAGUGGAUACUGGCAAGCUAGAGUGUGUUAGAGGAUGGUGGAAUUUCCGGUGUAGCGGUGAAAUGCGUAGAGAUCGGAAGGAACAUCAGUGGCGAAGGCGGCCAUCUGGGACAACACUGACGCUGAGGCACGAAAGCGUGGGGAGCAAACAGGAUUAGAUACCCGCGUAGUCCCUGUCUCUUAUAC